UGAAACAAAUUGAUCAGGAAAGUACAUCAUCGUCCGAUGUUUAGAGAGCUGCAAUUGGCUGAAAUGCAGUCUGAGGGAGAUAAUGGAAAAUGGCCUGUGAUUGGGUUUUAUAAAUGGCAAGUCCAUGAGUAAGACACGGGUUGGUCUUCGUUAUUAGACACACGUAUAGGCAUUGCAUCAUAUCGCACCCUGCUUGCACGUUCGGAGUUUUUAUUGAGCAAUCAUUAGAAAAAAAUAGAAUGGUAACACGAUUUGUCGUUUCUAGG
This 266-nucleotide non-coding RNA is filed under the name Weissella paramesenteroides. Its description in RNAcentral is "T-box sequence". It matches the Rfam family "T-box leader". From Rfam's summary of the family: Uncharged tRNA acts as the effector for transcription antitermination of genes in the T-box leader family. T-boxes are found upstream of many aminoacyl-tRNA synthetase genes and some amino acid biosynthetic genes usually in Gram-positive bacteria. Lineage: Bacteria; Bacillati; Bacillota; Bacilli; Lactobacillales; Lactobacillaceae. The record is from RNAcentral.